RNAcentral lists this small RNA (2131 nucleotides) under Cryptococcus neoformans H99. RNAcentral describes it as "Cryptococcus neoformans var. grubii H99 hypothetical RNA". Lineage: Eukaryota; Fungi; Basidiomycota; Tremellomycetes; Tremellales; Cryptococcaceae. The record is from RNAcentral.
CUUGAUCUCAGAACCUCCUCGCGUCUAGCCCUCGUCGUCACCCCCAAAUAAUGCUGGGCGAAUCUCGAAUUAACCAUAAGGAGUAUUUCGAUAACCCAGUCAGAUCGUGAAGCCGGCAUUGGCGGUCAGCUGACGAUCAUGAUCUGCUCUUUAAUGUCGUCGGGUCAGCACCGGUUGACUUCGGGCCCGCGUGGUACUAUCUAAAUAAAAGUAUUUCACUGUCAUUUUCUCGUACUGAGUGUUGUGCUGGUAGUACGUAUGCAAUUUAACUAACUUGCAGCAGAAGUUCUCGUCCGCUUCCCCGGAGAAUUCAUUUGAUAUAUUUCCCCUCUUUUUGCGGUGCAAUUCUAAUAAUGGAAGUACGCAGGGGCGUUCUUUUUUCGUUGUCAUUCCCGAGGGGGAGGAGGAGAGUCGAUGGUUCCUCGAUCGACAAUGGAAAUAGCCAUGGUGUUGCUAGUAGUGCCUUGUGAAUACUGCGGAUAAAAGCUGAUAUUCGGCCAAUUAUUGCACAUGUCAAGUCGGAUGCUCCAGGUCUAACUAACGCGAUUUGCGGCGCUCUUUUAUGAUAUCAUCAGGACAUUAGGGGCCCGGCCGGUUCCUCGAAAACCCCGCCAAUACUAUUACAUCGUCUUUCGUUAUUAUCAUAAUAGAUUAUUACUGGUGCCAAUGCCUGUGCGAUGUUCAAAUUAUCGCGGUAGAGGUGAUCAACGAUCAAUAAUGAACUCCUUUGUUCUGUAGCAAUCGUUGGCGAGAGGUCUUCCAAUUGAAUUCGCACUGUAUUUUAUCCUCCUGACCACGUUGGUUAUCCUCUGGAUCACCACAGGUUCAUGCCGAUCGACCCAUAUCUGCAGUGUAUAAGAUGCGUAGCUGUGCAGGCUGUAGUAUCUAGGAUAUAUUAUGGCCAAUCAUCUUUCCAAUCCCUGCCUUGCUCUUCAUCCUCCUGAACUCUGAAAAAGGGAAACUAUUCUGAAAUGGAAACCAUUUUAGUACAGCGAUUGCCGCUCUAAAAAAUUGGAGUCUUUGAAAACAACGUAACUAAACACUCCUCCGUUGCUACUAUUUGCGCACUAUACUAUUCAUAAUUCUUCUGCUGUUAUUUAUUCUUGCACCUCUUUCAGAUCGAAGGACGAAAACAUCCUUCCUCAGCCAUGAAUGCGAAGAGAACAGCAAACCUCAUAGUUCUUCAUCGGCAAAAUAGGAGCUGUGGUUUGCACAGUUUAAACUUGAUCAGAAGAUGUGUGUGUAAAAAAAUAAAAGAUGCGGCUCCUUCAUGUAUAUGUCUCCAUGACAUUGGCAUAGACAAACAGGUACGACGAUGGCCCACGAUCAAUGAUGCUGAUUUACGCGUUUUUUUUACCAUCGUCCUCUAAGAGUUUUUUGUCUUCCCGACCCUGUUGUAAUUCGAUUCGGCGUACCCACACACACCCUCAACGGAAGAAGGAAGAUACCCAUAACUGUCCCCCAAUUUGCCCAAAUCUCUGUCAAAACCUCUCUUGCCGCCUUGUCUUCUAUAUGAUAUUGAGCGGCAUCGCACACGCCUUGCGUACCCCUUGUGGGACGAUCGGUGUUUGAGUUGGUUAUGAUGUAGAGGAUGCUGUGCGUUUACCGCUGAUUGGUAAGGAGCAUGAAUUUCCGUCAGCGGACUGGACCAAGAUGAAGCCACGGCCAAUAAAUAAUUAGAUUAUGGAAGACGACUCGCCUUGGAUCAGUUAAUAAACUGUGGCUCAGUCGACAGCGCUCCAAAUGGCCAGUAAAAAGAGAUCUCAAUACGAAUAUCACCUUUCUCGAUAUGCCCCCGUUUGAAACUCGGACCCAGUAACGGCCAUUCAUUUCGUCGGCGUAAAAUCGAGCGGGUAGAUUGAAGGAGUGUUGAGGAUGGCGGAUCAGCUAGGUUCUUCACUGGUGGUGCUGCUACUACAGCUCGGAAAGCUUGCAGGGGGCUGGACGGAUGAGUUGAAGAACUAUAUUGAAGACAGUUAGAGAUCUUGAAAGGAUGCCAUGGGCUUAUCCUUUCGGCAUUAUCUUCAGCGGUUUCAAGUAAUAGUGUGCCGAGAUCAUUCCGGAGACAUGAUCGUCUGCAUUCGACGUCUGUUUAAUACAUGACCCACUGAGGCAAGCAUUACGUUAUGAU